AUUGAACGCUUGCGUCAGGCCUAACACAUGCAAGUCGAACGAGUGGCGCACGGGUGAGUAAUGUCUGGGCAACUGCCCGAUUGAGGGGGACCACCACUGGAAACGGUAGCUAAUACCGCAUACCAUCGGAUGUGCCCAGGGGGGAAUGGCUAGUGGGUGGGGGAGAGGCUAACCUAGGCGACGAUCCCUAGCCGGUCUGAGAGGAUGACCAGCCACACUGGAACUGGGACACGGUCCAGACUCCUACGUGAGGCAGCAGUGGGGAAUAUUGCACAAUGGGCGCAAGCCUGAUGCAGCCAUGCCGCGGGUAUGAAGAAGGCCUUCGGGUUGUAAAGUACUUUCAGCGGGGAGGCGUUACCCGCAGAAGAAGCACCGGCUAACUCCGUGCCAGCAGCCGCGGUAAUUC
This 406-nucleotide ribosomal RNA is filed under the name uncultured bacterium. Its description in RNAcentral is "partial 16S ribosomal RNA". It matches the Rfam family "Bacterial small subunit ribosomal RNA", at positions 30 to 526 of the family's 1533-position model. The record is from RNAcentral.